Athene cunicularia (burrowing owl) is the source of this 429-nucleotide long non-coding RNA. RefSeq lists it as uncharacterized. The transcript is spliced from 3 exons. NCBI's taxonomy places the organism in Eukaryota, Metazoa, Chordata, Aves, Strigiformes, Strigidae. The record is from RefSeq and is a predicted model, not a curated record.
GAAAAAUUUUCCUGAAAGUUUGAAGUUUCAACCUAUUUUUACUGUUUGCAAAUAAAGAUUAAACUUUUGAAAUGUGCUGACAAGAAAUAACAGUGAGAGAAAACAACUUUGCCUUUUUCCCUACUCUAUUUCCUCUAAACACAACUAAGAGAAAACCUAGUAGCCUGCUGUGUUUGCCUGAGGAACUGAAGACCUCACAGUUCAGAAGAAGGACUCAUUAGCACUUGGCAUCUGCCUGUGCUCUGCAAUAAGAUAUGGCAAAGUCCAAUUCUCAAGCCUUCAUCCUGAGAUCAGAGAAACAGGAUUUUACUGAAAUCUCCUGGAGUGUAUCCUACUGUCACCUGCAGUUCAAGUUCCAUCAUACUUAACUGUUUCAAGGACUUACCCCCACACCUUACUUGAGACAGGAUCCUCAGGAUUAUCACUGUG